This is a non-coding RNA of Schizosaccharomyces pombe (fission yeast), 512 nucleotides long. Lineage: Eukaryota; Fungi; Ascomycota; Schizosaccharomycetes; Schizosaccharomycetales; Schizosaccharomycetaceae. The record is from the annotation of a GenBank genome assembly.
AAUAAUAAACCAGUGGGACAUGAAGCAGUCAACCUCCUAGAAUCGAAAACGUAAAUGUAUAAGAAAAAAAAACAAAACAAACAUCAUCAUUUCCAAAGACAAAAAAAAAAGGAGAAAAAAAAUCAUUAAUUUACCCUGACGAAGACCAGAGACGAACACAUUCGUCCCAAGAGCCAGUUGCCAACAUUGUUCCAUCAGAAGUUAAAGCUAAAGAGCUAAUUCGAUUUUCAUGGCCUGUUAAUGAUGUGAUGGUUUUGCUUGAGAUGGAAUCCCAAACCUCGCAUGUUUUAUCUUUUGCGAUAAAAAGAAGUUUUCCAGACUUGGAAAAUAAGACUGAAUUAAUGGGGGAGGAUGAUGGAGAUGAAUACUGGAAUAUCUCAGCAGAAGCACGAAUGUCAAAGCACCGAGCGAUACCAUCCUCUGCACCCGUAACAAAAUCAGCGUUAGAAGGAAAAAAGGAAAUGGAAUUAAUAUCCGAUGUAUUUCCGGGAAAUGUGGCACAACAAUAAGCA